Hordeum vulgare subsp. vulgare (domesticated barley) is the source of this 125-nucleotide non-coding RNA. The record is from Rfam. Lineage: Eukaryota; Viridiplantae; Streptophyta; Magnoliopsida; Poales; Poaceae.
CUUGUACUCCCUUCGUUCGAAAAUACUUGUCGAAGAAAUGGAUGCAUCUACACGUAUUUUAGUUCUAGAUACAUCUAAUUUUAUCUGUUUUUCUGACAAUUAUUUUUGGACAGAGGGAGUAUCUU